This 432-nucleotide ribosomal RNA is filed under the name uncultured bacterium. Its description in RNAcentral is "partial 16S ribosomal RNA". It matches the Rfam family "Bacterial small subunit ribosomal RNA", at positions 29 to 506 of the family's 1533-position model. The record is from RNAcentral.
AACGAACGCUGGCGGCAUGCCUAACACAUGCAAGUCGAACGAGACCUUCGGGUCUAGUGGCGCACGGGUGCGUAACGCGUGGGAACCUGCCCUUAGGUUCGGAAUAACUCCCCGAAAGGGGUGCUAAUACCGGAUAAUGUCUUCGGACCAAAGAUUUAUCGCCUUUGGAUGGGCCCGCGUUGGAUUAGCUAGUUGGUAGGGUAAAAGCCUACCAAGGCGACGAUCCAUAGCUGGUCUGAGAGGAUGAUCAGCCACACUGGGACUGAGACACGGCCCAGACCCCUACGGGAGGCAGCAGUGGGGAAUAUUGGAAAAGGGGCGAAAGCCUGAUCCAGCAGUGCCGGGUGAGUGAUGAAGGCCUUAGGGUUGAAAAGCUCUUUUACCCGGGAUGAUAAGGACAGUACCGGGAAAAUAAGCCCCGGCAAACCCCGU